GGUUGCGUAGCUGAGCUGAAUGGAGCAUCUGUCUUUUAGGCAGACGAUCGAAGGUUCGAAUUCUUCCUUGAUUU
RNAcentral lists this transfer RNA (74 nucleotides) under Maribacter cobaltidurans. It matches the Rfam family "tRNA". From Rfam's summary of the family: Transfer RNA (tRNA) molecules are approximately 80 nucleotides in length. Their secondary structure includes four short double-helical elements and three loops (D, anti-codon, and T loops). Lineage: Bacteria; Pseudomonadati; Bacteroidota; Flavobacteriia; Flavobacteriales; Flavobacteriaceae. The record is from Rfam by way of RNAcentral.